RNAcentral lists this ribosomal RNA (766 nucleotides) under uncultured fungus. Its description in RNAcentral is "eukaryotic LSU rRNA". The stretch from base 312 to 466 matches the Rfam family "5.8S ribosomal RNA". The record is from RNAcentral. Lineage: Eukaryota; Fungi.
CAUUACUCAGAGUGCCGUAUGCACCUUUGAGAACCUGUAUUUGUCCCCCUGGCGGGAUUCGCGCCAAUUCAAGCUGCGGUUAAGCCACGCAAACGCGGAUUUCAAAUGGGUGAAAGCCAGCUCCGGCAUGGUACGAAGUCCGUUGCUUUGGGUGAAACACGCUUCUCCGUAGUGGGCCGGUCCCGUCCGGGUACCCUGUUUAAAUUUCACUCGGUCACCUUUCAACCCCUUUUACUUAUCACUAAAUUCGAAUUGCUGGCUGCUUUGGUGCGCCCAAGGCAACCCUCCAAUUCCAAAUGCAUAACUUGAACAACUCUUAGCAACGGAUAUCUUGGUUCUCGCAACGAUGAAGAACGCAGCGAAAUGCGAUACGUAAUGCGAAUUGCAGAAUUCAGUGAAUCAUCAAAUCUUUGAACGCAAAUUGCGCUCUCGGGAAAGGCCUGGGAGCACGCCUCUUCGAGUAUCGAUUUCAAACUACCUCGGCCGCGUGUCGAUUUAUCGCACGCACCGGAAACUGAGUGUCUAGACGCUUAAACGCGCAAAGUCACUUGAAGAAAAGUAUGCGGACUGAAUCCGCCUGAACCUUAGCGAAACGAUUCGUCGUUCCGUUCGUUCUGGUAACGUGGAUAGGUUCUUGAAACCGAAACGUUGGCCAGAAAGAAUGGCAGCAGUUAAAGCGUUGGGCGCUUUCGCCGGCAAUGAAGGAUGUGAACUACGUUCACUAUGAAAGUCAGAUCUCGGAUGAGCGAGAGGACCCGCUGAAUUU